This is a long non-coding RNA of Bufo gargarizans (Asiatic toad), 242 nucleotides long. RefSeq lists it as uncharacterized. NCBI's taxonomy places the organism in Eukaryota, Metazoa, Chordata, Amphibia, Anura, Bufonidae. The record is from RefSeq and is a predicted model, not a curated record. The transcript has 3 exons.
GAACGUAUCCACAAGGACAACAACCGACUACAAUAACCACGAGAUCUCAGGCCCAUUGACUCUUCAGGACUACUCUAGUGCCGCAGAAUAUAUGACUGCUUUCUCAUAGGAGGAUGGCUGCUAAAUGACUGUGUCCUUACCAAUAUUGACCUGGUUUAUGGCCUUGAACUGCAACAGCAGAACCCUUCCAUGAACUUUCCUUUUUUUAUUUAUUUUUUUGCUUUCCUUUUUGCUUUCUUACU